CCUACGGGUGGCAGCAGUGGGGAAUAUUGGACAAUGGGGGCAACCCUGAUCCAGCCAUGCCGCGUGUGUGAAGAAGGCCCUCGGGUUGUAAAGCACUUUCAGUGAGGAAGAACGCCUGGUGGUUAAUACCCAUCAGGAAAGACAUCACUCACAGAAGAAGCACCGGCUAACUCCGUGCCAGCAGCCGCGGUAAUACGGAGGGUGCGAGCGUUAAUCGGAAUUACUGGGCGUAAAGCGCGCGUAGGUGGCUUAAUAAGCCGGUUGUGAAAGCCCCGGGCUCAACCUGGGAACGGCAUCCGGAACUGUCAAGCUAGAGUGCAGGAGAGGAAGGUAGAAUUCCCGGUGUAGCGGUGAAAUGCGUAGAGAUCGGGAGGAAUACCAGUGGCGAAGGCGGCCUUCUGGACUGACACUGACACUGAGGUGCGAAAGCGUGGGUAGCAAACAGGAUUAGAUACCCGUGUAGUC
This 465-nucleotide ribosomal RNA is filed under the name Vreelandella stevensii. RNAcentral's name for it is "partial 16S ribosomal RNA". It matches the Rfam family "Bacterial small subunit ribosomal RNA", at positions 338 to 795 of the family's 1533-position model. The record is from RNAcentral. Lineage: Bacteria; Pseudomonadati; Pseudomonadota; Gammaproteobacteria; Oceanospirillales; Halomonadaceae.